AGAGAACCACAGAGCCACAGAAAGAAGAGGCCCUGUGAAGGGAGACCCGAGGGAGAGGUGUUGCAGGGAAAAAGGUCGUGCAUCAGGAAGUGUCAUUUAAAAAGGACCUGAGUUGGGCUGAGUUAUCAGCAAAUACACGCCAUGGCUGUGCUCCCCACCCCCCACCGUACACUAGCAGGGCAGCAGCUCUGAUUGUCUAACGAGCAGCAGAGCCGCCCAGCAGCAACCACAUUAGGAAGGAAUCGGAAACCAACGCUCCGCUGGCUGUCACCCCUUACCCACUUGCUGUCAGACCACAGCCUGAGGCAGCCAAACCCAUUUCCUUGGGGAUCCAGCGCAAACCAGAGAGUGUGGACAGGCCGAUGGAAGAAUGUUGGACCAGCUUUAAGAAUGGGCUGUUCUAAGUCAUGAAUAUUGUAGGAAGCAGCUCUAAGGACCACAGGGCUGGAGGGUGCACAGGAAGGGGCCAGUGCAUACAGACAAAAUAUUACUCUGUCACCCAGACUGGAGUCCAGUGGUGUGAUCUCAGCUCACUGCAACCUCCGCCCCCUCAAGUCCAAGCCACUCUCAUGCCUCAGUCUCCUGAGUAGCUGGGAUUACAGGCACCCACCACCACGUCUGGCUAAUUUUUGUAUUUUUAGUAGAGACAGGGUUUUGCCAUCUUGGCCAGCCUGGUCUCGAACUCCUGGCCUCAAGUGAUCUGUCCACCUCAGCCUCCCAAAGUGCUGGGAUUACAGAUGUGUCCAAACAGUGUCAUCCGGUGUCCUGACAUGCGGCCCCAAUGGACUGAUCCAGGGUGGAAAGGAAGAGUGAGAAGAAAUCAGACAGAAGAAUUCAGGAGAUGUGGCAACAGAGUGGAUGUAGCAGAAGGGACAUAGAGAGUGCCUAAAGAUGAGUCUUUGGUCAGCAUGUGAUGAAAAGAAUGAAGACACUGGGGAAGUGGGGAGCAGAAGCGGAUGUGGGCCCAGGAGGAAGAAGGUUCCAGAGAGCAGAGAUGGCAAAAAGAUGCAUGGAAGAGAGACACAGCAGGGUCGGGUUCUGGCCUCAGGAGCCAAGGGGGAAGUGCCUGAGGAGACCCCCAAAUGAGGCCUGUGUCAAUGAGGUCUUUAGGGGACUGGUUUCCAUGUAUGCCAGGCCAUACUCCCUGGAUUCCCAGCAUUGAGAAGACCAAACACUUCUACACAUUUAUUACUGAAGCCCCCUGCAAGCUGAAGGCGGAGGAAGUGGCCAAUCUCCUAAGCCGUGUGUGGCUGAGGCAGUUGUCAGAGCUGUGAUGAGGGAAAUGCUCAUUAUUCUUCUAUCCCUCACUUGGCCAAAUAAAGAACUUCUUAGAAUUCUUCCCCUGUGACAAAACGGGGCUGUGAUUUGGAAAGCCUCAGGCAAGUUUGCUAGGGCCGCGGUAACCAAGCACCACAGACUGGGUGGCUUCAAAACUGGACGGCUUCAACAGAAAGUUAUUGUUGCUCAGUUCUGGAAGCCAGAAGUCCAAAAUCAAGGUACUUGCAGGGUCAGUUCGAUCUGAGGGCUGCGAGGGAAGGAUCUGUUGUAGACCUCUCUCCUAGGUUUGCAGGCAUUGGUCCUGAUGUUCACAGGGCAUCCUUCCUGUGCCUUCACAUCAUCUUCUCUCUGAAUGUAUCUCUGGGUCCAAAUUUCCCUAUUUUAAAAUAAGGAAAUCAGUCCUAUUGGGUUAGCACCCCGCCCCUCACUUUAACUUGAUUACCUCUGUAAAGACCCUACCUCCAAAUAAGAUCACAUUCUGCGUACUGAGGGCUAGGACCUCAACAUCUGAAUUCAGGGUGGGUGGAUGCACAAUUCAUUCCAUAACAUUAAGAAGGAAGGGAUAAGUGCCCAAGGAAUCACAUGCUCGCUUGGGGAGAGUUCCAAGCGUGCAGAGCUGGUGGUCAUAGCCUAGCCUCAGGCCUUCGGAAAUCCCCUGAAUCUGGUUUUCCCAGUUCUCAUAAUCUCAUUUCACCAAAAUACGGCAUCUCAAUACAUUCCAUGCAUUUCUGGUGACAAGCUCAUUCUGGUGCACGCUAAGCAAUGUGCUAACUACGUCUUAACUAGGGUGGUUUAACUGGUUUGGUUAACAUAGAUCUCUGAGUCAUUUCACGCAUUCCUUAAGCCUAAACAAAUCUCAUCCAGGUGUUUAAGACAUUGCACAAUAUUAGACCAUCUGAAGCUCCAUCUCCUUGGGGCAAUGAUGAUGAUGGUGAUGAAAGUGGCUGGUGACUGUUCUCAGUCUCAUCGCCAUAAUGGAACCCUACGUUGUGUUCCUCCACACUGGUGUGAGGGACACUACUAAGUGCGGCAGAGUUUGCACUCAGGAUAGAGAAAUAUGGACUCACGCACAGAUUCCAGCUGAGUCCCUCCGAUGUGCUAGGUACUAUGUCCAGCCCCCCAGGAUUCACCUGUAAGCAGGACAGUCUUUUGGAUGACAGAGGGAAUUCUCAUAUAUCCACAGGCAGAUGGAAUUUACAAGUGGAAAGACCUAGAAGUUCAGAGACAGGGGGACUGAACUUUUUGCUUUCAGUCAGAAUCUUUGCUUACGGUUGUGCAAAUGCUUGCAUUGGUGGGUUUCCAUGCCAUAUAACGUGCUACAUAUUUUUACGUUACCCUUGCACAUAAGCAUACUGUUGGGAGGGAAAAUGAAGAGGGUGGAGGUGGUAACAAACUCAAGCUAAGGAAAUGGAAUUUGGAUGGGUACAAAGUCCAGAGAAUUAGCUUGAGGAAAAUGAACCAGGAUUCACACAGGAGUUUUCAAACAUCUCAAUAUCAGGACCCCUUUACCCUCUUAAAACUUACUUCGUGAGGACCUUAAAGAGCUUUUGUUUGUGUGACUUAUA
RNAcentral lists this long non-coding RNA (2843 nucleotides) under Homo sapiens (human). RNAcentral describes it as "non-protein coding lnc-IL6-3:17". The record is from RNAcentral. Lineage: Eukaryota; Metazoa; Chordata; Mammalia; Primates; Hominidae.